This 492-nucleotide ribosomal RNA is filed under the name uncultured bacterium. RNAcentral's name for it is "partial 16S ribosomal RNA". It matches the Rfam family "Bacterial small subunit ribosomal RNA", at positions 28 to 507 of the family's 1533-position model. The record is from RNAcentral.
GAUGAACGCUAGCUACAGGCUUAACACAUGCAAGUCGAGGGGAAACGACAUCGAAAGCUUGCUUUUGAUGGGCGUCGACCGGCGCACGGGUGAGUAACGCGUAUCCAACCUGCCCAUCACUUGGGAAUAACCUUGCGAAAGUAAGACUAAUACCCAAUGACAUCCCACGAAGACAUCUGAAUGGGAUUAAAGAUUUAUCGGUGAUGGAUGGGGAUGCGUCUGAUUAGCUUGUUGGCGGGGUAACGGCCCACCAAGGCAACGAUCAGUAGGGGUUCUGAGAGGAAGGUCCCCCACAUUGGAACUGAGACACGGUCCAAACUCCUACGGGGGGCAGCAGUGAGGAAUAGUGGGCAAUGGGCGAGAGCCUGAACCAGCCAAGUAGCGUGCAGGAUGACGGCCCUAUGGGUUGUAAACUGCUUUUAUAAGGGAAUAAAGUGGGUCUCGUGAGACUUUUUGCAUGUACCUUAUGAAUAAGAACCGGCUAAUUCCGUG